UGAGGACACAGUGAGAAGACGGCCAUGCAUGAACCAGGCAGCGUCCCUCAACUAACACCGAAUCUGUCAGCCCCUUGAUCUUGGACUUCCAGCUCCUAGAACUAUUUUAUUUAUUUAUUCAUGAGAGACACAGAGAGAGGCAGAGACACAGACAGAGGGAGAAGCAGGCUCCCUGCAGGAAGCUCGAUGUGGGACUCAAUCCUGGGACUCCAGGAUCACACCCUGAGCCAAAGGCAGACGCUCAACCACUGAGCCACCAGGUGCCCCUGAACAUCUAUUUCACGACCAAUGUCUGGCGAAACAGAGUAGGUUCCAGGCCCCAUGUAGGACUUGAACCGACAACCUUGAGAUCAAGUGUUGGAUGAUCUAUCAAUGGAGCUAUCCAGG
This is a long non-coding RNA of Nyctereutes procyonoides (raccoon dog), 387 nucleotides long. RefSeq lists it as uncharacterized. The record is from RefSeq and is a predicted model, not a curated record. The transcript has 3 exons. Lineage: Eukaryota; Metazoa; Chordata; Mammalia; Carnivora; Canidae.